Molecule: ribosomal RNA, 2836 nt
Filed under: Escherichia coli
Lineage: Bacteria; Pseudomonadati; Pseudomonadota; Gammaproteobacteria; Enterobacterales; Enterobacteriaceae
Description: partial 23S ribosomal RNA
Rfam family: Bacterial large subunit ribosomal RNA
Source: RNAcentral
GGUUAAGCGACUAAGCGUACACGGUGGAUGCCCUGGCAGUCAGAGGCGAUGAAGGACGUGCUAAUCUGCGAUAAGCGUCGGUAAGGUGAUAUGAACCGUUAUAACCGGCGAUUUCCGAAUGGGGAAACCCAGUGUGUUUCGACACACUAUCAUUAACUGAAUCCAUAGGUUAAUGAGGCGAACCGGGGGAACUGAAACAUCUAAGUACCCCGAGGAAAAGAAAUCAACCGAGAUUCCCCCAGUAGCGGCGAGCGAACGGGGAGCAGCCCAGAGCCUGAAUCAGUGUGUGUGUUAGUGGAAGCGUCUGGAAAGGCGCGCGAUACAGGGUGACAGCCCCGUACACAAAAAUGCACAUGCUGUGAGCUCGAUGAGUAGGGCGGGACACGUGGUAUCCUGUCUGAAUAUGGGGGGACCAUCCUCCAAGGCUAAAUACUCCUGACUGACCGAUAGUGAACCAGUACCGUGAGGGAAAGGCGAAAAGAACCCCGGCGAGGGGAGUGAAAAAGAACCUGAAACCGUGUACGUACAAGCAGUGGGAGCACGCUUAGGCGUGUGACUGCGUACCUUUUGUAUAAUGGGUCAGCGACUUAUAUUCUGUAGCAAGGUUAACCGAAUAGGGGAGCCGAAGGGAAACCGAGUCUUAACUGGGCGUUAAGUUGCAGGGUAUAGACCCGAAACCCGGUGAUCUAGCCAUGGGCAGGUUGAAGGUUGGGUAACACUAACUGGAGGACCGAACCGACUAAUGUUGAAAAAUUAGCGGAUGACUUGUGGCUGGGGGUGAAAGGCCAAUCAAACCGGGAGAUAGCUGGUUCUCCCCGAAAGCUAUUUAGGUAGCGCCUCGUGAAUUCAUCUCCGGGGGUAGAGCACUGUUUCGGCAAGGGGGUCAUCCCGACUUACCAACCCGAUGCAAACUGCGAAUACCGGAGAAUGUUAUCACGGGAGACACACGGCGGGUGCUAACGUCCGUCGUGAAGAGGGAAACAACCCAGACCGCCAGCUAAGGUCCCAAAGUCAUGGUUAAGUGGGAAACGAUGUGGGAAGGCCCAGACAGCCAGGAUGUUGGCUUAGAAGCAGCCAUCAUUUAAAGAAAGCGUAAUAGCUCACUGGUCGAGUCGGCCUGCGCGGAAGAUGUAACGGGGCUAAACCAUGCACCGAAGCUGCGGCAGCGACGCUGAUGCGUUGUUGGGUAGGGGAGCGUUCUGUAAGCCUGCGAAGGUGUGCUGUGAGGCAUGCUGGAGGUAUCAGAAGUGCGAAUGCUGACAUAAGUAACGAUAAAGCGGGUGAAAAGCCCGCUCGCCGGAAGACCAAGGGUUCCUGUCCAACGUUAAUCGGGGCAGGGUGAGUCGACCCCUAAGGCGAGGCCGAAAGGCGUAGUCGAUGGGAAACAGGUUAAUAUUCCUGUACUUGGUGUUACUGCGAAGGGGGGACGGAGAAGGCUAUGUUGGCCGGGCGACGGUUGUCCCGGUUUAAGCGUGUAGGCUGGUUUUCCAGGCAAAUCCGGAAAAUCAAGGCUGAGGCGUGAUGACGAGGCACUACGGUGCUGAAGCAACAAAUGCCCUGCUUCCAGGAAAAGCCUCUAAGCAUCAGGUAACAUCAAAUCGUACCCCAAACCGACACAGGUGGUCAGGUAGAGAAUACCAAGGCGCUUGAGAGAACUCGGGUGAAGGAACUAGGCAAAAUGGUGCCGUAACUUCGGGAGAAGGCACGCUGAUAUGUAGGUGAAGCGACUUGCUCGUGGAGCUGAAAUCAGUCGAAGAUACCAGCUGGCUGCAACUGUUUAUUAAAAACACAGCACUGUGCAAACACGAAAGUGGACGUAUACGGUGUGACGCCUGCCCGGUGCCGGAAGGUUAAUUGAUGGGGUCAGCGCAAGCGAAGCUCUUGAUCGAAGCCCCGGUAAACGGCGGCCGUAACUAUAACGGUCCUAAGGUAGCGAAAUUCCUUGUCGGGUAAGUUCCGACCUGCACGAAUGGCGUAAUGAUGGCCAGGCUGUCUCCACCCGAGACUCAGUGAAAUUGAACUCGCUGUGAAGAUGCAGUGUACCCGCGGCAAGACGGAAAGACCCCGUGAACCUUUACUAUAGCUUGACACUGAACAUUGAGCCUUGAUGUGUAGGAUAGGUGGGAGGCUUGGAAGUGUGGACGCCAGUCUGCAUGGAGCCGACCUUGAAAUACCACCCUUUAAUGUUUGAUGUUCUAACGUGGACCCGUAAUCCGGGUUGCGGACAGUGUCUGGUGGGUAGUUUGACUGGGGCGGUCUCCUCCUAAAGAGUAACGGAGGAGCACGAAGGUUGGCUAAUCCUGGUCGGACAUCAGGAGGUUAGUGCAAUGGCAUAAGCCAGCUUGACUGCGAGCGUGACGGCGCGAGCAGGUGCGAAAGCAGGUCAUAGUGAUCCGGUGGUUCUGAAUGGAAGGGCCAUCGCUCAACGGAUAAAAGGUACUCCGGGGAUAACAGGCUGAUACCGCCCAAGAGUUCAUAUCGACGGCGGUGUUUGGCACCUCGAUGUCGGCUCAUCACAUCCUGGGGCUGAAGUAGGUCCCAAGGGUAUGGCUGUUCGCCAUUUAAAGUGGUACGCGAGCUGGGUUUAGAACGUCGUGAGACAGUUCGGUCCCUAUCUGCCGUGGGCGCUGGAGAACUGAGGGGGGCUGCUCCUAGUACGAGAGGACCGGAGUGGACGCAUCACUGGUGUUCGGGUUGUCAUGCCAAUGGCACUGCCCGGUAGCUAAAUGCGGAAGAGAUAAGUGCUGAAAGCAUCUAAGCACGAAACUUGCCCCGAGAUGAGUUCUCCCUGACCCUUUAAGGGUCCUGAAGGAACGUUGAAGACGACGACGUUGAU